UACAGAGGGUGCGAGCGUUGUUCGGAAUUAUUGGGCGUAAAGCGCGAGUAGGCGGUCUUUUAAGUUGCGUGUGAAAGCUCCCGGCUCAACCGGGAAAGUGCGCGCAAGACUGGAAGGCUUGAGUCUCGGAGAGGGUCGUGGAAUUCCCGGUGUAGAGGUGAAAUUCGUAGAUAUCGGGAGGAACACCAGAGGCGAAGGCGACGACCUGGACGAAGACUGACGCUGAGAAGCGAAAGCGUGGGGAGCAAACAGG
Molecule: unclassified non-coding RNA, 253 nt
Filed under: uncultured Archangiaceae bacterium
Lineage: Bacteria; Pseudomonadati; Myxococcota; Myxococcia; Myxococcales; Archangiaceae
Description: contains 16S-23S intergenic spacer region
Rfam family: Bacterial small subunit ribosomal RNA
Source: RNAcentral